CUUUCCCGCGCGACCGGCGAGGGAGGAAGAAGCGCGAAGAGCCGUUAAUCAUGCCGGUGUGGUGGCGGCGGCGGAGCCUGCGGGCCGGUAGCUGGGCUCUGCAAGGUGAAAGAAAGCCUUUGAGGUGAAGAUGUAUGAAGGUCAUCAUAACAAAUGUUUUCCAAAAACUUGCAGAAGGCUGUGAAAACUACUAGGAUCACGCGGCAUGUAUUGAGGUGUGGCAUGCAGCAUUUUGGAAGGAAAAUUGAAGACUUGUUCAAGAAAACAUGAACAGAAGCAAAUGAUGAAAAUGAGCAUUUUACUUGAUGUUGAUAACAUCACAAUAAAUUAUGGAGAAAAAUACAUAUUUGGCUAACUUUUAAUUGCUGAACAAUAAAGUAUUUUCUUUUAAAUCAACUCUAAAUAGCUCCAUUCUCAUAGUCACUACUCAGACCUGUUUUGAACAUAUUCGAAAGAUUAUAAUCUUGUCAAUAAUUAGCUUAUUUAUGGGUGGUGAUUCUCAUUGAGGCUGACAGCUGGGGAGACACUGCUUGUACCUCUAGGUUCCCUGUCUGGCUUCUGCUUCAGAGCCUGCUGUUGUACCAGGUGGUUGGAAUCUUAAAACUCUAAUAACAAAUAGCAAUCAAAUUCCUCCUUACAGAUAAA
RNAcentral lists this long non-coding RNA (645 nucleotides) under Pongo abelii (Sumatran orangutan). Its description in RNAcentral is "lincRNA". The record is from RNAcentral. Lineage: Eukaryota; Metazoa; Chordata; Mammalia; Primates; Hominidae.